Sapajus apella (tufted capuchin) is the source of this 516-nucleotide long non-coding RNA. RefSeq lists it as uncharacterized. The transcript is spliced from 2 exons. The record is from RefSeq and is a predicted model, not a curated record. NCBI's taxonomy places the organism in Eukaryota, Metazoa, Chordata, Mammalia, Primates, Cebidae.
AUACAGAGGAGUAGAACGAGCUGCUAUGCUGAGCAAAAUGCAUUAAAGAACCAGAAUGAAAAGUUUCCUGCUUCAGUCCAGUGACCUUUUACUGGUAACUCGGAUAUUUUAUGUCUAAUGAUCUCUUAACCCAACCCUGCCUCCACCUUCAUAUCCAUCCAUUUUUAAACUUGGCAAGAGCUUACUGGCUUGGAAUGCUGUGCAUAAGGCAAAUACUUCAGGAAAGGUAUCAUUUGAGCAUGGACCUCAUGGGACACGACUCUCCAUCACGGCUUCAGCUCACCCAAAGACCUACAGAUAAGUACAGAAGUCAUAACCUCCCACCUCCUGAAUGUCUCAUGAUUCAGAUCCCAAAUGCCUUAUAAACCAAAACGUUAUAUGAAUGGGGCAUAUUGUUUUCAUGUAUGCAAACUCAAGCCUUGAAAACUACAGAAUACAGACAGACCUAGAAAUGAUUAAUGGCAGACUAAUGAGACUGUAUAAGUAUGCAGUCCAUGAAUAGAACCUAUAAAAAAU